This 478-nucleotide ribosomal RNA is filed under the name uncultured bacterium. RNAcentral's name for it is "partial 16S ribosomal RNA". It matches the Rfam family "Bacterial small subunit ribosomal RNA", at positions 28 to 523 of the family's 1533-position model. The record is from RNAcentral.
GACGAACGCUGGCGGCGUGCUUAACACAUGCAAGUCGAACGGUAAGGCCCUUCGGGGUACACGAGUGGCGAACGGGUGAGUAACACGUGGGUGAUCUGCCCUGCACUUCGGGAUAAGCCUGGGAAACUGGGUCUAAUACCGGUUAGGACCUCUGCCUGCAUGGGUGGGGGUGGGACGCUUUUGCGGUGUGGGGUGGGCCCGCGGCCUAUCAGCUUGGUGGUGGGGUGCUGGCCUACCAAGGCGACGACGGGUGGCCGGCCUGAGAGGGUGACCGGCCCCACUGGGACUGAGAUACAGCCCAGACUCCUACGGGAGGCAGCAGUGGGGAAUAUUGCACAAUGGGCGCAAGCCUGAUGCAGCGACGCCGCGUGAGGGAUGACGGCCUUCGGGUUGUAAACCUCUUUCAGCACCGACGAAGCGCAAGUGACGGUAGAUGCAGAAGAAGGACCGGCCAACUACGUGCCAGCAGCCGCCGUAA